This 414-nucleotide unclassified non-coding RNA is filed under the name Hevea brasiliensis (rubber tree). The record is from RNAcentral. Lineage: Eukaryota; Viridiplantae; Streptophyta; Magnoliopsida; Malpighiales; Euphorbiaceae.
CAUCGUCUUUUUCACCUCAAUGGCCUUGAUCACAUUCCUUUUGCACAAUCUUCCAAUCCUUCCAUGGCUACUAAUCUCAGUAUCUUCUACAAUUGGGGCUUACAUGUGUGCGAUUAUAGCCAACUCUCCUCCUGACGUUGUGCCAGUACUCUUGAUUGGAACUUCCAUCUUUCUAGCUGCUUUCUUGCAUUGCGUGGCUCCGCAGCGCAAGUCAUUUAAUAAUCUCCAGUGGGUUUGCUCCAGAAUCCACAUAACAUAGAAAUCCAUUGCCAUAUCUGCACAAGCUGCAUGUGCAUGCUAAUAAACGUUAAUUAAAAGAAAUAAAACAAGAGUGACUCUAAGUCAGAGCAGUGUGUUUUGGCUUGUUCACUGUUGUUGGUAAGCUUGUCAUGCUUUUCAAUUUUAUUAUGUUUU